AUUGAACGCUGGCGGCAUGCUUUACACAUGCAAGUCGAACGGUAACAGGCCGCAAGGUGCUGACGAGUGGCGAACGGGUGAGUAAUGCAUCGGAACGUGCCCAGUCGUGGGGGAUAACUACUCGAAAGAGUAGCUAAUACCGCAUACGAUCUAUGGAUGAAAGCGGGGGACCGUAAGGCCUCGCGCGAUUGGAGCGGCCGAUGUCAGAUUAGGUAGUUGGUGGGGUAAAGGCUCACCAAGCCAACGAUCUGUAGCUGGUCUGAGAGGACAACCAGCCACACUGGGACUGAGACACGGCCCAGACUCCUACGGGAGGCAGCAGUGGGGAAUUUUGGACAAUGGGCGCAAGCCUGACCCAGCAAUGCCGCGUGCAGGAAGAAGGCCUUCGGGUUGUACACUGCUUUUGUACGGAACGAAACGGCUCUGGUUAAUACCCGGGGCUAAUGACGGUACCGUAAGAAUAAGCACCGGCUAACUACGUG
Molecule: ribosomal RNA, 482 nt
Filed under: uncultured bacterium
Lineage: Bacteria
Description: partial 16S ribosomal RNA
Rfam family: Bacterial small subunit ribosomal RNA
Source: RNAcentral